This 211-nucleotide long non-coding RNA is filed under the name Elaeis guineensis (African oil palm). RNAcentral's name for it is "long non-coding RNA (EGUI_LNC038607)". The record is from RNAcentral. Lineage: Eukaryota; Viridiplantae; Streptophyta; Magnoliopsida; Arecales; Arecaceae.
UUGAAUUAAAAUUUUUGAUAUGAUUAAAUUUUAUUUUAAUUUAAUAUUUUUUAUAAUUUUUUAAUCUGAUUUUAAUCAGAUUAUCAAAUCAAAGUCUGCCCCUGAAUCCGAUCUAUUAAAAAUCUGUUUUAGCAGAAUUUUCUCUAUAAAUUCUUAUUCUGAUUUAAAAUCUGAUAAUGCAUGGAUUUAAAUCUAUUUUUGAUAGAUUUUU